GGAUUCCCCUAGUAACGGCGAGUGAACCGGGAAGAGCUCAAAUUUGAAAUCUGGCGUCCUCAGGGCGUCCGAGUUGUAAUCUAUAGAGGCGUUUUCCGUGCCGGACCGUGUCCAAGUUCCUUGGAACAGGAUAUCAAAGAGGGUGACAAUCCCGUACUUGACACGACGACCGGUGCUCUGUGAUACGUCUUCUACGAGUCGAGUUGUUUGGGAAUGCAGCUCAAAAUGGGUGGUGAGUUCCAUCUAAAGCUAAAUAUUGGCGAGAGACCGAUAGCGAACAAGUACCGUGAGGGAAAGAUGAAAAGCACUUUGGAAAGAGAGUUAAACAGUACGUGAAAUUGUUGAAAGGGAAACGAUUGAAGUCAGUCGUGACCGAGAGGCUCAGCCGGCUCUGCCGGUGUAUUCCCCUCGGUCGGGUCAACAUCAGUUUUGUCCGGUGGAUAAGGGCGGUAGGAAGGUGGCACCCUCGGGUGUGUUAUAGCCUGCCGUCGCAUACAUCGGGUGAGACUGAGGAACGCAGCUCGCCUUUAUGGCCGGGGUUCGCCCACGUCCGAGCUUAGGAUGUUGACAUAAUGGCUUUAAACGACCCGUCUUGAA
RNAcentral lists this ribosomal RNA (597 nucleotides) under Papiliotrema laurentii. RNAcentral describes it as "partial large subunit ribosomal RNA". It matches the Rfam family "Eukaryotic large subunit ribosomal RNA", at positions 72 to 658 of the family's 3401-position model. The record is from RNAcentral. Lineage: Eukaryota; Fungi; Basidiomycota; Tremellomycetes; Tremellales; Rhynchogastremaceae.